RNAcentral lists this ribosomal RNA (255 nucleotides) under uncultured Lactobacillus sp. Its description in RNAcentral is "partial 16S ribosomal RNA". It matches the Rfam family "Bacterial small subunit ribosomal RNA", at positions 107 to 354 of the family's 1533-position model. The record is from RNAcentral. Lineage: Bacteria; Bacillati; Bacillota; Bacilli; Lactobacillales; Lactobacillaceae.
UGAGUAACGCGUGGGUAACCUGCCCUUAAGUCUGGGAUACCAUUUGGAAACAGAUGCUAAUACCGGAUAAAAGCUACUUUCGCAUGAAAGAAGUUUAAAAGGCGGCGUAAGCUGUCGCUAAAGGAUGGACCUGCGAUGCAUUAGCUAGUUGGUAAGGUAACGGCUUACCAAGGCGAUGAUGCAUAGCCGAGUUGAGAGACUGAUCGGCCACAUUGGGACUGAGACACGGCCCAAACUCCUACGGGAGGCAGCAGA